Long non-coding RNA from Cucumis sativus (cucumber), 1236 nucleotides. RefSeq lists it as uncharacterized. NCBI's taxonomy places the organism in Eukaryota, Viridiplantae, Streptophyta, Magnoliopsida, Cucurbitales, Cucurbitaceae. The record is from RefSeq and is a predicted model, not a curated record. The transcript is spliced from 2 exons.
AGAAAAAGAAACCCAUUUCUUCUUCCUCGCGUGUGCACCCCCCUCACUUUCUUCGUUUUCUCCUUCUCCUUGCCCUAGCUUCCUCUUCCUUUCUUCUUCUCCGUUCAUCCUUCUCCGUCGUCGCCUUGCACCAGCCGAGCGAAUCCCGUCCGACGAAACCCAGCUAGGCCACACCGCCUCUCCAUCCACAACGCCGCUGUCUGUUCGCAAGCUGUCGGUCUCCGUUCGUGAACCCUAGCCGCCGCGUCAGUUCACCGGUCUUCCUUCAUGACGCCGCCAAUCGUUUGCGAAGUAGUGCGUCGUGAAGUCACGUCGGUCGCGCGACUCUAUGUUUGCCAGUCGAGCCGUGAAUCGUCCGUACGCCGUCUCUCCACCGUAUGCCGUCUCUUCAUUGUACGCCAUCUCUCCGCCACACACUGUCUCUCCGUCGCACGCUGUCUCCCCAUCGUGAAUCGUCUGUUCACAAGCUGCAGGUUGUUCGUUGAAGCCAGAUUGACAUUUUGAUUACGCCUGUCCCCAUUCACAAUCCGACAACUGCACGUCGUAGUGUGCCGUGCCACAUCCUCGUCCGUCGACUGUGAAAUAGCUGUUGUCGGUUCCCCAACCCGGUUUAUACGUGCAGAUUUCAUUCCUUCAAUCGUUUUAGUGUCUGUCAUACUCCAGGUAGUUGUGGUAAGAAUGAAAAUUGUAGGAUUUGUGGUUUUGCAUUGUAAAAUUUCGAUGAAUUUUGAUGGUUAAUUGGUUCAAAUGAUAGAUUAUGGAAGGUGUUGAAAGGGACAUUGGGUUCUUUUAAUUCACAACCAAAUUUGUAGAUUGUAGGAGUUCGGUUCGCCAAUACCUCGGUAAGUUAGAACUGACAUUGAGGAAAUUAAGUGGAGUAUGUAUCGUGAAAGUAAUUGAGUGAAAGCAAUUGAGUUUCAUAUGAGUAUGUAUCGUGAAAGUAAUUGAGUUUCAUAUCUUUGUGAUUAGGUGUCUUUCGUUGGAUAUAGUUUGUACUAGAAUUUGAGGCAAAAGUAACAAAUGAGGUAGACCGACGAGGGACAAGAAGGAGACGUGAUUGCCAUAACGGAAUGUCCUUCAAAUGCUUUCGCAUUAUGUUUUCUUGUUUUCCUUAAUACAUGAGGUUGUUUAAAAAUUUUGUGAUGGAACUGAGUUUACGAACUGUUGUUUUGUAAAUAGUACUUUUAAAAUUUUGGUAAUUUGAAAUAGGGCCCGAACUUAAGUUUAUUUUUUUUU